RNAcentral lists this ribosomal RNA (560 nucleotides) under uncultured Glomus. RNAcentral's name for it is "SSU rRNA". It matches the Rfam family "Eukaryotic small subunit ribosomal RNA", at positions 546 to 1106 of the family's 1831-position model. The record is from RNAcentral. Lineage: Eukaryota; Fungi; Glomeromycota; Glomeromycetes; Glomerales; Glomeraceae.
AAUUGGAGGGCAAGUCUGGUGCCAGCAGCCGCGGUAAUUCCAGCUCCAAUAGCGUAUAUUAAAGUUGUUGCAGUUAAAAAGCUCGUAGUUGAAUUUCGGGAUCAAUAUUUCGGUCAUGCCGUUGGUAUGCACUGUUAUCGUUGAUUUCUCACCUUCUAAAGAACCGUAAUGCCAUUAAUUUGGUGUUACGGGGAAUUAGGACUGUUACCUUGAAAAAAUUAGAGUGUUUAAAGCAGGCUCACGCUUGAAUACAUUAGCAUGGAAUAAUGAAAUAGGACAUCCGAUUCUAUUUUGUUGGUUUCUAGGAUCGAUGUAAUGAUUAAUAGGGAUAGUUGGGGGCAUUAGUAUUCAAUUGUCAGAGGUGAAAUUCUUGGAUUUAUUGAAGACUAACUACUGCGAAAGCAUUUGCCAAGGAUGUUUUCAUUAAUCAAGAACGAAAGUUAGGGGAUCGAAGACGAUCAGAUACCGUCGUAGUCUUAACCAUAAACUAUGCCGACUAGGGAUCGGAUGAUGUUAAUUUUUUAAUGACUCAUUCGGCGCCUUACGGGAAACCAAAGUGU